Molecule: ribosomal RNA, 481 nt
Filed under: uncultured Rhodocyclaceae bacterium
Lineage: Bacteria; Pseudomonadati; Pseudomonadota; Betaproteobacteria; Rhodocyclales; Rhodocyclaceae
Description: bacterial SSU rRNA
Rfam family: Bacterial small subunit ribosomal RNA
Source: RNAcentral
AGAGUUUGAUCAUGGCUCAGAUUGAACGCUGGCGGAAUGCUUUACACAUGCAAGUCGAGCGGCAGCGCGGGGGCAACCCUGGCGGCGAGCGGCGAACGGGUGAGUAAUACAUCGGAACGUACCCUGUCGUGGGGGAUAACUAACCGAAAGGUUAGCUAAUACCACAUACGACCUGAGGGUGAAAGCGGGGGAUCGCAAGACCUCGCGCGAUAGGAGCGGCCGAUGUCAGAUUAGCUAGUUGGUGAGGUAAAGGCUCACCAAGGCGACGAUCUGUAGCGGGUCUGAGAGGACGGCCCGCCACACUGGAACUGAGACACGGUCCAGACUCCUACGGGAGGCAGCAGGGGGGAAUUUUGGACAAUGGGNGCAAGCCUGAUCCAGCCAUUCCGCGUGAGUGAAGAAGGCCUUCGGGUUGUAAAGCUCUUUCGGCAGGAACGAAACGGUCUCUCCUAAUACGGGAGGGUAAUGACGGUUCCUGAAG